RNAcentral lists this ribosomal RNA (473 nucleotides) under uncultured organism. RNAcentral describes it as "partial 16S ribosomal RNA". It matches the Rfam family "Bacterial small subunit ribosomal RNA", at positions 335 to 800 of the family's 1533-position model. The record is from RNAcentral.
ACUCCUACGGGAGGCAGCAGUAGGGAAUCUUCCACAAUGGGUGCAAACCUGAUGGAGCAAUGCCGCGUGAGUGAAGAAGGUCUUCGGAUCGUAAAGCUCUGUUGUUAGAGAAGAACACGUGCUAGGUAACUACUAGCGCCUUGACGGUAUCUAACCAGAAAGUCACGGCUAACUACGUGCCAGCAGCCGCGGUAAUACGUAGGUGACAAGCGUUGUCCGGAUUUAUUGGGCGUAAAGGGAGCGCAGGCGGUCUGUUUAGUCUAAUGUGAAAGCCCACGGCUUAACCGUGGAACGGCAUUGGAAACUGACAGACUUGAAUGUAGAAGAGGAAAAUGGAAUUCCAAGGGUAGCGGUGGAAUGCGUAGAUAUUUGGAGGAACACCAGUGGCGAAGGCGAUUUUCUGGUCUAACAUUGACGCUGAGGCUCGAAAGCGUGGGGAGCGAACAGGAUUAGAAACCCCUGUAGUCCCAUGA